This is a long non-coding RNA of Argiope bruennichi, 467 nucleotides long. RefSeq lists it as uncharacterized. The transcript is spliced from 3 exons. The record is from RefSeq and is a predicted model, not a curated record. Lineage: Eukaryota; Metazoa; Arthropoda; Arachnida; Araneae; Araneidae.
UCUGCAUAAAUUACCUGCACAUCUAAUAAUUGUUUUAUAAUAAACCUGCGAUAAUUUUGGGUCCCCGGUGGCCUGGUAGUAAGGUCCCGGCUUGUGAGCCGUAGGGUUUCAGGUUCGAGACCCGAAGAACCGUCGUGUAAGGGCGUCUGUUGCACGUUAAAUACGUCGUGCCAAACGACCUACCGCUGGUGUGGUGUGGCGUGGAGAGUGGGUGCCAGCUCAGGUGUCGUCCUCGUCAUCCGGUUCAAAAUUACGAGGUCCGUCCCAAAAUUACCCUGGUGUUGCUUUACAACAGGACGUUAAUACAACUAAACUAAAACGGAUAAGCGCAUAUCUCAUUAAAAUGGAUGGGUUCUCUUGUGCCCUUGCGGUAGAUGGCAGUUUCGACAGCCCCUUUUACUAACAGUAAAUCUGACAUACAUUCUUUGUCCGUUGAAGUGAAAUGUUUUCUUACAUGGUGUGGAAGA